RNAcentral lists this non-coding RNA (25 nucleotides) under Rattus norvegicus (Norway rat). The record is from RNAcentral. Lineage: Eukaryota; Metazoa; Chordata; Mammalia; Rodentia; Muridae.
UUAUUAACUUGGGUCUUCUCUUCUU